This 468-nucleotide ribosomal RNA is filed under the name uncultured bacterium. RNAcentral describes it as "partial 16S ribosomal RNA". It matches the Rfam family "Bacterial small subunit ribosomal RNA", at positions 28 to 507 of the family's 1533-position model. The record is from RNAcentral.
GACGAACGCUGGCGGCGUGCUUAACACAUGCAAGUCGAACGGAAAGGCCCUGCUUUUGUGGGGAGCUCGAGUGGCGAACGGGUGAGUAACACGUGUGUAACCUGCCCUUGACAUUGGGAUAACUUCUGGAAACUGGGGCUCAUAUCGCACAGCAGCUCCUGCUGCAUAGGGGUGAUGGGUAAGUUUCGGUGUUUGGGGAUGGACUCGCGGUUUAUCAGUUUGUUGGUGAGGUAGUGGCUUACCAAGUCUUUGACGGGUAGCUGGCCUGAGAGUGUGACCAGCCUCAAUGGUACUGAGAAACCACCCAAACUGAUACGGCGGGCAGCGGUGGGGAAUAGUGCAAAAAAAGCGGAAGCCGAAAGGAACAGCGCCGCGUCCGAGAUGACUGCCGUUGGGUUAGAAACCGGUUUCGAGUGUGACGAGGAGUGAGUGACGGUAAUGGGUAAAAAAGCACCGGCUAACUACGUG